Molecule: microRNA precursor, 86 nt
Filed under: Podarcis lilfordi (Lilford's wall lizard)
Lineage: Eukaryota; Metazoa; Chordata; Lepidosauria; Squamata; Lacertidae
Source: RNAcentral
AAAUGUUUUGGGGCUACAACUCCCAUCAUCCCUAGCUAACAGGACCAGUGGUCAGGGGUGAUGGGAAUUGUAGUCCCAAAACAUCU